RNAcentral lists this transfer RNA (72 nucleotides) under Bos taurus (domestic cattle). It matches the Rfam family "tRNA". Rfam says of the family: Transfer RNA (tRNA) molecules are approximately 80 nucleotides in length. Their secondary structure includes four short double-helical elements and three loops (D, anti-codon, and T loops). Further hydrogen bonds mediate the characteristic L-shaped molecular structure. tRNAs have two regions of fundamental functional importance: the anti-codon, which is responsible for specific mRNA codon recognition, and the 3' end, to which the tRNAs corresponding amino acid is attached (by aminoacyl-tRNA synthetases). tRNAs cope with the degeneracy of the genetic code in two manners: having more than one tRNA (with a specific anti-codon) for a particular amino acid; and 'wobble' base-pairing, i.e. permitting non-standard base-pairing at the 3rd anti-codon position. Lineage: Eukaryota; Metazoa; Chordata; Mammalia; Artiodactyla; Bovidae. The record is from Rfam by way of RNAcentral. RNAcentral also lists the same sequence under 2 other names.
UCCCUGGUGGUCCAGUGGUUAGGACUUUGCCUUCCAAUGCAGGGAGUGUGGGUUCAACCCCUGGUCAGGGAA